UCUCCAGCAUGCUGCGGCGGGGCAGCCAGGCGCUCCGGCGCUUCUCCACUGGCCGGGUUUAUUUCAAAAGCAAGCUGAAGUUGGCACUAAUUGGCCAGAGCCUCUUUGGACAAGAAGUCUAUAGCCACCUCUGCAAAGAGGGCCACCGAGUAGUAGGGGUGUUCACGGUUCCAGACAAGGAUGGAAAAGCUGACCCUCUGGCUUUGGCUGCAGAGAAAGAUGGGACCCCUGUGUUCAAGCUUCCUAAAUGGAGGGUCAAGGGCAAGACCAUCAAAGAGGUGGCAGAAGCCUACAGAUCUGUGGGUGCAGAGCUAAAUGUGCUCCCUUUCUGCACUCAGUUCAUUCCCAUGGAUAUAAUUGAUAGUCCAAAGCAUGGCUCUAUCAUUUAUCACCCAUCCAUCCUGCCCAGGCACAGAGGAGCCUCUGCUAUCAAUUGGUGAGAUUUUUUCUUUUUACUUUUUUUUUUUGAGAUGGGGUCUUGCUGUG
Molecule: small RNA, 486 nt
Filed under: Pongo abelii (Sumatran orangutan)
Lineage: Eukaryota; Metazoa; Chordata; Mammalia; Primates; Hominidae
Description: retained intron
Source: RNAcentral